UUUUUUUUUCCAACCUUUUAAAGUUGUUGCAGUUAAAAAGCUCGUAGUUGGAUUUCGGAAGGUCCUAAGCGGUCCGCCCCUUCGGGGAGCGGGUCGCUGGCCUCCUAUGUUCCUAACGGUCCUCAUCCGCGAGGGUGGGGAAUCAACCGCUAGGAUCGUUUACUUUGAGGAAAUUAGAGUGUUCAAAGCAGGCGUAACUCGCCUCCGAAUACGUUAGCAUGGGAUAAUGGAAUACGACUUCGGUCUUGUUUCGUUGGUUUCGCUUGGCUGAAGUAAUGAUUGAUAGGGACAGUUGGGGGCAUUAGUAUUUAGUUGUCAGAGGUGAAAUUCUAGGAUUUACUAAAGACUGACCAAUGCGAAAGCAUUUGCCAAGGAUGUUUUCAUUAAUCAAGAACGAAAGUAGGGGGAUCGAAGACGAUCAGAAACCGUGGUAGUCUUUACCGUAAACUAUGCCGACCAGGGAUCCGGAGAGUUUGCAUGGAUGACUCCCCGGGCACCUUGUGAGAAAUCAUAAGUGUUUGGGUUUUGGGGGGAGUAUGGUCGCAAGGCUGAAACUUAAAGGAAUUGACGGAAGGGCACCACCAGGAGUG
RNAcentral lists this ribosomal RNA (590 nucleotides) under Vermamoeba vermiformis. Its description in RNAcentral is "SSU rRNA". It matches the Rfam family "Eukaryotic small subunit ribosomal RNA", at positions 1 to 1178 of the family's 1831-position model. Lineage: Eukaryota; Tubulinea; Echinamoebida; Vermamoebidae. The record is from RNAcentral.